Etheostoma spectabile (orangethroat darter) is the source of this 222-nucleotide long non-coding RNA. RefSeq lists it as uncharacterized. Lineage: Eukaryota; Metazoa; Chordata; Actinopteri; Perciformes; Percidae. The record is from RefSeq and is a predicted model, not a curated record. The transcript has 3 exons.
AGGGAAGCUGUUCUUCUCUGGUCUCAGCUCUGAGCUCCAACCCCUCCCAUCUGAGAGAGCUGGACCUGAGCUACAAUCAUCCAGGAGACUCAGGAGUGAAGCUGCUGUCAGCGGGACUGAAGGAUCCUCUCUGGAGACUGGACACUCUCAGGGUGGAGCCUGCUGGAGUCAGAUGGUUGACACCAGGUCUGAGGAAGUAUUCCUGUGAACUCACAGUCGACA